Molecule: ribosomal RNA, 364 nt
Filed under: Morelia viridis (green tree python)
Lineage: Eukaryota; Metazoa; Chordata; Lepidosauria; Squamata; Pythonidae
Description: partial 12S ribosomal RNA
Source: RNAcentral
CCAUAACAUGGCAGUACAAUCACUGCUCGCCAAACAACUACGAGUGAAAACUUAAAACUUAAAGGACUUGACGGUACUUCACCCAGCCUAGAGGAGCCUGUCCAAUAACCGAUAACCCACGAUUAAUCCAACCACUUCUGGCCACCCAGUCUAUAUACCGCCGUCGCCAGCCCACCUUGCAAAAGAAACAAAGUGAGCCAAAUAGUACUACACUAAAACGACAGGUCGAGGUGUAACUUAUGAAGUGGACCAAGAUGGGCUACAUUUUCUAACACAGACUAUACGAACAAGGACYUGAAAUAGUCUCUCAAAGGUGGAUUUAGCAGUAAGCUAAGAACAUAAUACCUAGCUGAAACCAUUGCAA